This 238-nucleotide long non-coding RNA is filed under the name Salvia miltiorrhiza (redroot sage). RNAcentral describes it as "long non-coding RNA (SMIL_LNC011609)". Lineage: Eukaryota; Viridiplantae; Streptophyta; Magnoliopsida; Lamiales; Lamiaceae. The record is from RNAcentral.
UUUGAUUGAUGAUCAUGCGAUUAUGGCUGAUCAUGUGGUCCAGUUCUACGUCGAUCUCUUUACUGACGGUUGUGGAUCGUUCUUGGAUUGGUCAGCAUAUUCAUACUUUAGUUACUCAGGAUCAGGGGGCGUCGCUCAUUUGUUGCCCUUCGGUGGACGAGAUACGGGCAGCGGUUUUCUCCAUGAAUUGUAACGGUGCUCCUGGGCCCGAUGGUUUCACUGGUAAAUUUUUUCAUGU